UUCAAGUUUAAAAAAUUCAAUUAAAAUAAAUUCAGGUUGCUCAAAUUCGACCUGUCAAAUUCGACUGCUAAAAUACAACGCUCAAAAUUCGCUGUCAACAUCCAGGACACACAGGAUGAGCAAUCGAUUCAGUCCUCAAUCGAGCCAACAACCAGCCAAUCACAUCACGCUCCAAAGAUCACGUGACAGGUAGCGCCUCACGGCUCAGAGCCGCUCAACGCGAGUCACAGCCCCCUCCGCUGCUCCUCUCGAGUAGUAAUGAUGCCUCUUAUUGGGGAGCCAGGGUCUGCCUAGCUAGGUCCUGUGAACCACAGCACUGGGGGUUAACCAUAUUUUUCCUUGGUGACUGCAUGCUUCAGAGGCUGGACAGCAGCAGAAGAAAGCGGCUGUGAGUUUUCUUUGUUAGUGCUGCAUGAGGAGGCUGCGAGGAGCGUGCAAUGCUGGUGUCAUGUCUGGUGCUGAUAGCGCUCCUGUCUCCCUCGCACUCAGCUCUUCCUGCACUCUUCAGUCACUGAACUACAAUACCCAGAACGCACCACACUUGGACUACAAGGACUCAUCCGAUCACAUGAUUCUGCACAUGGCACUCAGGAAGUAAUCAUUGUAAUCAGCCUCACCUGUUUCCCCCUGUAUUUAUACCCCUCAGUUUACUCACUCCCUGCCGAGUAUUGUUUGGUUUAUCCUGCUUUACAGCGCGUCUUCCUUGCUUUGUUUUGAUUACCUGUUUUUGACCUAUUUUUCCGUGUACCUCGACUCUGCCUUUUGUCUGCCCUUUGUUGCUGUUUUUGCUUGUGUUUUUGACCCUGGACUGUUACACUGUUUCUGGUAUAUCACUCCCUGUUGGCUCCUGUUUAUCGGCAUUGACCCUUUUCUGUCUGACCACUCUUUGUAUCGCCGCUUUUUUAAAGUCCUGCCAGAUCAUGACACUGGGGGUGAGGACACAUCUUGAGGAAAUAUCUGCGUAAACUUUCUGAAUGGUGACACAAUAAAGUGGGGUCUAUUUUCUUGCCUCUGGGAAAA
This 1020-nucleotide long non-coding RNA is filed under the name Astyanax mexicanus (Mexican tetra). RNAcentral's name for it is "lncRNA (ENSAMXG00005003940.1)". Lineage: Eukaryota; Metazoa; Chordata; Actinopteri; Characiformes; Acestrorhamphidae. The record is from RNAcentral.